GAUGAACGCUGGCGGCGUGCCUAAUACAUGCAAGUCGAGCGAACAGACGAGGAGCUUGCUCCUCUGACGUUAGCGGCGGACGGGUGAGUAACACGUGGAUAACCUACCUAUAAGACUGGGAUAACUUCGGGAAACCGGAGCUAAUACCGGAUAAUAUAUUGAACCGCAUGGUUCAAUAGUGAAAGACGGUUUUGCUGUCACUUAUAGAUGGAUCCGCGCCGCAUUAGCUAGUUGGUAAGGUAACGGCUUACCAAGGCGACGAUGCGUAGCCGACCUGAGAGGGUGAUCGGCCACACGGGAACUGAGACACGGUCCAGACUCCUACGGGAGGCAGCAGUAGGGAAUCUUCCACAAUGGGCGAAAGCCUGACGGAGCAACGCCGCGUGAGUGAUGAAGGUCUUCGGAUCGUAAAACUCUGUUAUUAGGGAAGAACAAAUGUGUAAGUAACUAUGCACGUCUUGACGGUACCUAAUCAGAAAGCCACGGCUAACUACGUG
RNAcentral lists this ribosomal RNA (497 nucleotides) under uncultured bacterium. Its description in RNAcentral is "partial 16S ribosomal RNA". It matches the Rfam family "Bacterial small subunit ribosomal RNA", at positions 28 to 507 of the family's 1533-position model. The record is from RNAcentral.